UGAAGCUGGAAUUGCUAGUAAUGGCAGGUCAGCAUACUGCCGUGAAUACGUUCCCGGGCCUUGUACACACCGCCCGUCACACCAUGAGAGUUGGAAAUACCCGAAGCCUGUGAGCUAACUGUAAAGAGGCAGCAGUCGAAGGUAGAGCCAAUGAUUGGGGUGAAGUCGUAACAAGGUAGC
RNAcentral lists this ribosomal RNA (180 nucleotides) under uncultured bacterium. RNAcentral describes it as "partial 16S ribosomal RNA". It matches the Rfam family "Bacterial small subunit ribosomal RNA", at positions 1321 to 1500 of the family's 1533-position model. The record is from RNAcentral.